UGGGGAAUCUUGCACAAUGGGGGAAACCCUGAUGCAGCGACGCCGCGUGAACGAUGAAGCCCUUCGGGGUGUAAAGUUCUUUCGACGGGGACGAUAAUGACGGUACCCGGAGAAGAAGCUGCGGCUAACUACGUGCCAGCAGCCGCGGUAAUACGUAGGCAGCAAGCGUUGUUCGGAAUUACUGGGCGUAAAGAGUGCGUAGGUGGUUGGCCAAGUUUGGUGUGAAAUCUCCUGGCUUAACUGGGAGGGUGCGCCGAAAACUGGUUGACUAGAGUGUGGGAGAGGGACGUGGAAUUCCUGGUGUAGCGGUGAAAUGCGUAGAUAUCAGGAGGAACACCUGCGGUGUAGACGGCGUCCUGGACCAUGACUGACACUGAGGCACGAAAGCGUGGGGAGCAAACA
RNAcentral lists this ribosomal RNA (402 nucleotides) under uncultured bacterium. Its description in RNAcentral is "bacterial SSU rRNA". It matches the Rfam family "Bacterial small subunit ribosomal RNA", at positions 355 to 774 of the family's 1533-position model. The record is from RNAcentral.